This is a non-coding RNA of Nicotiana tabacum (common tobacco), 141 nucleotides long. The record is from RefSeq and is a predicted model, not a curated record. NCBI's taxonomy places the organism in Eukaryota, Viridiplantae, Streptophyta, Magnoliopsida, Solanales, Solanaceae.
CCACAGUGGUCAUGAUGAUGUGAUGGGAUGCUCUCAGAGGUAUAAACAAUUAGUUUGACGAGCCCUCAUAGUAUACAAGAGUAGCAUUCAGCAAAGAAUCGAUUUGGGCCAUUUGGAGUUGAGUACUCGUGGCAAGAGCGU